GGGCAUGUAGCUCAGUGGUAGAGUGCUUGCCCAACAUACAAGCCACCCUGGGUUCAAUUCCUAGCAUGGCAA
Molecule: transfer RNA, 72 nt
Filed under: Ictidomys tridecemlineatus (thirteen-lined ground squirrel)
Lineage: Eukaryota; Metazoa; Chordata; Mammalia; Rodentia; Sciuridae
Description: Spermophilus tridecemlineatus (thirteen-lined ground squirrel) tRNA
Rfam family: tRNA
About the family: Transfer RNA (tRNA) molecules are approximately 80 nucleotides in length. Their secondary structure includes four short double-helical elements and three loops (D, anti-codon, and T loops).
Source: Rfam by way of RNAcentral